AUUGAACGCUGGCGGAAUGCUUUACACAUGCAAGUCGAACGGCAGCACGGACUUCGGUCAGGUGGCGAGUGGCGAACGGGUGAGUAACAUAUCGGAACGUAUCCAAUAAUGGGGGAUAACGAGUCGAAAGAUUCGCUAAUACCGCAUACGCCCUACGGGGGAAAGCUGGGGACCUUCGGGCCUGGCGUUAAUGGAGCGGCCGAUAUCUGAUUAGCUAGUUGGGGAGGGAAAGGCUAACCAAGGCGACGAUCAGUAGCUGGUCUGAGAGGACGACCAGCCACACUGGAACUGAGACACGGUCCAGACUCCUACGGGAGGCAGCAGUGGGGAAUUUUGGACAAUGGGCGCAAGCCUGAUCCAGCCAUUCCGCGUGAGUGAAGAAGGCCUUCGGGUUGUAAAGCUCUUUCGCAAGGGAAGAAAACUUAGCCACUAACAUUGGUUGAGGUUGACGGUACCUUGAUAAGAAGCACCGGCUAACUCCGUGCCAGCAGCCGCGGUAA
RNAcentral lists this ribosomal RNA (500 nucleotides) under uncultured bacterium. Its description in RNAcentral is "partial 16S ribosomal RNA". It matches the Rfam family "Bacterial small subunit ribosomal RNA", at positions 30 to 523 of the family's 1533-position model. The record is from RNAcentral.